Laccaria bicolor S238N-H82 is the source of this 88-nucleotide transfer RNA. It matches the Rfam family "tRNA". Rfam says of the family: Transfer RNA (tRNA) molecules are approximately 80 nucleotides in length. Their secondary structure includes four short double-helical elements and three loops (D, anti-codon, and T loops). The record is from Rfam. NCBI's taxonomy places the organism in Eukaryota, Fungi, Basidiomycota, Agaricomycetes, Agaricales, Hydnangiaceae.
GCCCGCCUAGCUCAAUCGGAUAGAGCGUCAGACUUUUACGGAGGUCCGGGUGAUCUGAAGGCUGCGAGUUCGACCCUCGCGGUGGGCU